UUUGGUCUGUUUUCUGCUGUUUCUUGGUCUCAACCUGUAUUCUAACCUGGCCAGUCAUAGUCAAAAAUGUUCUCUUGAUCUGCCCUUGGAACAGGUGAUAGGAUGUGGAUAACCACUGUAAAUCUGUCACCAUGGCUGGAAAACAAUCCCCAGCACCUGCCCUGCCAUGUAUGGAAAGCAGAACAUUUAUCAAGAUCAGUCCGGGAGAAGCCAGUUUGGAAUUUUUCCCAAAAGAUAAGAGGAAAGAGAAAAUCUUACUGGAGAAAACCAUGCCAAGCCUGAGAACAUUGAGUACCCAAGGCCAAGCUCAACAAGGGCAGAGAACUUUCCGGCAAGAAAUUAUCCCAUCUGUAACAAGGCCAGUCUCAUGGUCUACAGCUCACAAUUGGCAAGAAGAUAGAUUAAAUGGACAUUCAAGGACCUGCACAUUUGGUCCCAGCAUCCUCCCAGUUCACCCCGUAGGCCACCCACAUGGACUCAUUGUCCUCAUUUUUGUGUUACAACUUUCGCACAUGCUACUUCCUUUGCCUGGAAAGACUUCUUUCUGAUUCUACUUGCCUGGAAAAGCCCAACCAUCCUUUAAGAAUCAGCUCAAAGGUCACCUCCUCUAUGAAGGCUCUCCUGUAUACUCAGUCAUUCACCCACACAUGCUUAUUGAGUACUGUUGUGCUCUUCAGCCAAGACUACCAUGAACCUGCCAGCAAUGAAACAAGGUAGGAGAUGCCUCCAUGGGGGCAUCUCCAUAGCGUGUUACACAGAACUUAUUAUAAGAUGUGGAUUUUGGUUUGGUGAUUUGGGGAGGAUCUAAGAAAUCAAGAAUUUGCUGUAGAUUGGAAACCACCAGAGAACAAGGGCAAUUCUAUGAUUGGGUUUUAUGGGUGGCACAGUGACCUUGUUUUUGUCUUUGCAGAGACAAAAUUAUGCAGUGACCUUGUUUUGUUUCACUUUAUCAUGGUUCAGAGUAAGUUUAUCUGAGGUUGGUGUUCUGUAAGACUGUUUAUGUCCAACAAAAGAAUAAAAUGGCCUGGCUAUGAGAGCUUGUAAUACUAUUCGGGUCCAGCUGUGAUUAUUUGUGUGUGUCAGGAUCUGCUUUCUUUUUUCUUAGCAUCUAUAGUAUAGCCGUUCUUGGACUAUGAUAAUGUCUGUAUGUCUUUUACAUCACUUCAGCAUGUUGUAUUGUGUAGCAGACAGUGCUGGUAUCUCUUAAGAUCCAUUCAAAC
Molecule: long non-coding RNA, 1220 nt
Filed under: Canis lupus familiaris (dog)
Lineage: Eukaryota; Metazoa; Chordata; Mammalia; Carnivora; Canidae
Description: lncRNA (ENSCAFG00000053244.1)
Source: RNAcentral